GCUGGCAGCCACACCACCUUCAGUUCAGCUCUCCCAGGCUGCACAUGGCUGGGUGUGGGCUCUGUUCUUAUGGGAGACCUCCAGAGAGACCCUGGAAAUGCCAGCG
Ribosomal RNA from Fukomys damarensis (Damara mole-rat), 106 nucleotides. NCBI's taxonomy places the organism in Eukaryota, Metazoa, Chordata, Mammalia, Rodentia, Bathyergidae. The record is from Ensembl.